CACGCAGGCGGUCUGUCAAGUCGGAUGUGAAAUCCCCGGGCUCAACCUGGGAACUGCAUUCGAAACUGGCAGGCUAGAGUCUUGUAGAGGGGGUAGAAUUCCAGGUGUAGCGGUGAAAUGCGUAGAGAUCUGGAGGAAUACCGGUGGCGAAGGCGGCCCCCUGGACAAAGACUGACGCUCAGGUGCGAAAGCGUGGGGAGCAAACA
Molecule: ribosomal RNA, 206 nt
Filed under: uncultured bacterium
Lineage: Bacteria
Description: partial 16S ribosomal RNA
Rfam family: Bacterial small subunit ribosomal RNA
Source: RNAcentral